CGGGUCGGCCAGGCGGCCGCUCCGAUUAUCGAUCGGGGAGGAAAGUCCGCACUUCAUAGAGCACGGUAGCGGGUAACACCCGUCGCCCGAAGCAGUUUGCGCUGACAAGGGUCGGAAUAGGAGCACAGUGACGAUGCCUGUGUGGCUACACGGUCAGGCAGGAGUGAAACGGCCAACCUCUACCGGAAGCAAGGUCAAGUCGGAACGCUAUGAGGCUGCUCGCCCAGUUCCAGGUGGGCUGCAUGAGGCCGGUGGCAACACUGGCCCCAGAUAGAUGGUCGCCCCUGACAGAAUGCGGCUUAUCGGUCGGUCCGGUGC
This 318-nucleotide RNase P RNA is filed under the name Chloroflexota bacterium. Its description in RNAcentral is "RNase P RNA component class A". It matches the Rfam family "Bacterial RNase P class A". From Rfam's summary of the family: Ribonuclease P (RNase P) is a ubiquitous endoribonuclease, found in archaea, bacteria and eukarya as well as chloroplasts and mitochondria. Lineage: Bacteria; Bacillati; Chloroflexota. The record is from RNAcentral.